UACGUAGGUGGCAAGCGUUGUUCGGAAUUAUUGGGCGUAAAGGGCGCGUAGGCGGUUUGUUAAGUCGGCUGUGAAAGCCCGGGGCUCAACCCCGGAGGGUCAGCCGAUACUGGCAGGCUAGAGUACGGAAUAGGUAGCUGGAAUUCCCGGUGUAGCGGUGAAAUGCGUAGAUAUCAGGAGGAACACCGGUGGCGAAGGCGGCUUGCUGGGCCAGUUCUGACGCUGAGGAGCGAAAGCGUGGGGAGCGAACAGG
This 253-nucleotide ribosomal RNA is filed under the name uncultured bacterium. RNAcentral's name for it is "partial 16S ribosomal RNA". It matches the Rfam family "Bacterial small subunit ribosomal RNA", at positions 524 to 776 of the family's 1533-position model. The record is from RNAcentral.